UUAAACCCAGCCCAAAUUAACGCCUACCCAACCCCAAACCAGGUCGAUCCAACCCAACCCAAUACUCAAAUCCACCCUAAUCUAAAAACCUACGCACAAUACACGAAGAAAGGGGUCGUGCUGGUCUUGAAGAAACACACAUAUAUAGACAAUGCACACAGUACACACAAUCAACGCAGAGACACGCCUGAAAAUUGAAAGCUGUGCAGCUUUGCUAUUCUUCUGAACAAUAGAUACACAAUAUAGUGAUACAGUAGAGACGCAUAUACAGAAAAACAAUACAGAGGGAGGGACGCCUGGAAAUUUUGAAAGAAGGGUUGGCGGCUCGGCUUCUUCUGAAAAAAUACAAGAACAUCAACCAUUGGACCUUACUCCAUCUCCCUCACGGCGGAGAACAGACGCACACACACAAACAAAUUUGCAACUGCUUUUGAGUUUGCUUAGUGUAGAGUCACCAUUAAAGGUAGCCUGUUCUAAAUUCGACAGGGUUUCAGGCUCGAGGUCUCGAUUUCUCCUGUGGUUCCUGUUCGAUUUAGCCAUUGUUGAUAAGCAUGGAUUUUGCUGGAAUUUGAUCGAGGAUGACCUCAGUUCGAGCCUCUUUGCUGGGUCGAGCUCAUUUGUAUUUGUUCAGCUCCAUUUUCCAUUGUUGGAUGCUCGAUUUCGUCUGAAAUUUGAACUCGAAAGUUCGUACCUACAGAUUCUCAAAUAAGCUCAACAGGCUCAACUAAGCUCUUUCUCUUCUCAUUGUUUUGUUUGCGAUGGAUUAUGGUGUUUGUGUUGGUUUGGUCGACAUUCUUUAUUAAAUUGCUUUAAUUGGUUAUCUGGAUUUCAAAUCUCGUCAUUUAAGCUGGAUCAAUUCUGUUUGUGGAUAAUUCUUGUUUGCGUUUGAUGCUAUGUUAGAGUUGAAUUUUAUGAAUAAAUCAGUAGAGUUUAGGUCUGGAAUUAGCUGCUAGUUGCGAUUUGCGCUCGAAAGAGAUAACAACAACAACAACAACAACUACCCAGUAUAGUCCUACAUAGUGGGGUCGAGAAAUAAGAACUGAAGUAUUCAGGUUAUGGUUAACUGUUUGAGGGACCAAGUCGCGUGUUGAAUGCUUAAAUUUUCUUGAAAAUAAGUAUCGAGACUAUUAGUUAUCACUAAGGUGGAAGUUUUAAUCAAACUUUGAUCUAUUGUGAGUUCUUUAAAUCGUCUUGGUAAACAUGUUGAGUUCUUAGGAUAAUUGAAUAUAACUAGGUUCCUCCUUGUUUAUUAAGGGAAGAUGUUUGUGGUCAAACUUUGAUCUAUUGUGAUUCCUUUAAAUCUGUUUGGUACACAUGUUGAGUACUUACAAUAAUUGAAUAUAACUAGGUUCCUCCUUGUUUAUUAACGGAAGAUGUUUGUGAGCUAGUUAAUGUACUAAUCUGUGCUUUCGAUUUCUCAUGAAUUUUACUGAAUUUCAUUGUUUGGCGUGUUUGACUGAAGCUCGUCCAGUUAUGAGACGAUUUCUCGUGAAUUUUAACGAAUUUCAUUGUUUGGCAUGUUUGACUGAAGCUCGUCCAGUUAUGAGAUUCCGACUCAUUUCCAUCUUCUAUUUGAUACUUUUGAACUGUUUUCUUUGCUUUCAAUUAGAGUUGCUGUUGUUAUUUGUUUGAUCAUGUUGGGUUUUGCAGCAUUUUCUUUAGUUUGAACUGGUUGGGAACUACUUGAAUAUUUGAGUGAAAAGCCAUGUAUUGAAGAGCUAAUUAUCUUUAGUUAGAGCCUGCUGGUUAUUCUUAUAUAUAAUGUGUGUCAUGCCUAAUAUUGCUGCUGAUUAGGAAGGAUUUGAAGCAGCAGUUUGCUUUGUUCUUCUGUAUAUUAAAUCCUGAGGUACCCCAAAAGUUAAUGUUAUUUGAUUUUGCUAUUUAUCUUUAUUUCCACCGCUAUUUGAGGUUGCACCUCUUUUGUUAUUUAAGUUAUGUUCUGUUACCCAUUCCAUUUCCUUGGCAUCUUAGAAUGACUAAUACCGUGGGUUAAUUUUCAUGCGUUUCAGACUUUCUUUUUUGUAGUUCUUAUUGGAAAUUCGAGUUGUGCCAUACAUAAACAAAAAUCCAUUAGCUAUGACCCUAAAAAGUAGUUCGAACAUUCUUUGAAAUUAGAAUCGAGUGUGCAAUUUAGUGAAUUUUCAUGGCCUCCCGCAAAAUUAAUAACACGUUAGUCGCUUUAGGCGCGUUCUUAAAUAAUUUACUUUCCUAAAUACAGGUGUACAUUUAUGUGACCCAAAUCCAAAUCUCCACGAAGUUGGAAUGUGUCAAAAUCCACGGGUGCGUUUAUGUCACAUGGUUCGAGGCAUAUUUUAAUGAAGUUGCAAUUUUCUUUAAAGAAUAAUGAUAAAGGCGGUUUAAAGUCAAAAGGCACAUAAGUUAAAACAUGUUCUAAAAUCAGAUAGUUUAAGCCAAAUAUGACAGUUGAGCGACCGUACUAGAACCACGGAACUUGAAAAUGGCUAACACCUUCUCCCGGGUUAACAGAAUUUCUUACCCGAAUUUUUGGUUCACGGACUGUAAGUAGAGUCAUUCUUUUCCUCGAUUCGAGAUUCUAACCGGUGACUUGGGACACCAUAAAUCUCCCAAGUGGCGACUCGGAAAUUCUCUUUAAUAAUUGAAUCCCGUUUUGAUUGUCCUUAAAGUGGAAAAAAUCCCUUAUCUUUGCCCUUCGCCGGGUUAUAUUGUAAAAAGGAGGUGUGACAGCUCUGGCGACUCUGUUGGGGAGGGAACCCAGAAUCUCUGGUUCAGGGUUCAAGAAUUCGAGCUUAGAAUAUUGUUAUAUUUGGCUUUGUUUAUUACUAGAUUUUACAUGAUGACUUAAUGUGAAAAAUGAUGCUUUUACCACUUUAAUAUUAUUUGAACUGUAUAUAAACUGCUACGAAACCCUUCUCUCUUUAUCUUCGGGGAUGUGCUCGCUGGUCAAGACUCCUUAAUCUGUUAGUGUCAUAUCUUCAAAUAAGAAAGAGGCUCGGACAAGUUACAGAGUCGGACGAUCUUGCGGGUCCCCGGUACGUAGCCCCAUCCUCGACUCGAGUUGUCCGCUCUGGUACACAGUCUAGAACAAAUACCUAGGUGUUGAACUUAGUAUAACAAACCUCAUUCCGGAUCCCUAGUAGGAGCGCUUAUCUGCAUCAUGCAUUUGACUUAGGGGACUCAACAUAGGGGUUGGGUCCGUCUAGGACAGGUGUACCCAAAAUAACAGACCAUCCUGAUGCAUCCUAAUGUGAUACAUGUUGCAUUUCUCCAAGGGUGAAAGGGUCAUUUGGCCACCAGUCAUCUUUGUGCUAUGACUGCAGAGUUUUGAAGAUUGUUUGUUGAAAUUUUGCCACUAUUCAUGGAAAAGUUUCUGGGAUAAAUUGAUAGCUGAAUAUCUACUAGCUUGAACCUUGUUACCAUUGCUUUCUAAUAGUUGUUGUUGUCAUUGAGUUUAAUAGAGGGGAUUCAGUUGGGCUAGAGAUUGAGCAGCUUGAAUUGUGAUAUGGUUGAGCAUACAGUAAGCUUACUCUACCGAAAUUUUGUGUCUGUUGAGAUUCGUGCGCGAGUUUAGCAAUGAUAAUUUAAAAUCUGGUUUUUACUUCUAAAAAAGUUCUCUUUGUUGAAUUGAGUGCUCUUGUUACAUAAACUAUUGUCUAGUUGGUUAGAAUCUGCUGACAGAAGUUGCAUGUUCGUUGGAAAAUAAUUUGCUGCUUAUUUUCUGUUGCUGAAAAGAAUUUCAUACUUGCUGUCCACCGCCCUGCAUUGUUCUUUUUUCGCUCAACAAUGGAGAUUUACACAUUUCUUUAAUUGAUUGUUGUUACUAUAGUUUUUCUUAACAGUUGAAGGAAUUUUGCAAAGGUUUUGGCUUCAGUUAACUUAACUGCGUUGCUUCAGUUUAUAUGUCAACAAUACAUUAUUGACAUUCAAGUUUUGAGUUGUUUUUUAUUUGAAAAGUAGAUCCCGUACUAUUCAACUGUACUUUGUGGUUAUUCUGACUCAAUAUUUUUGUGGUUCUAAUGCUUUGUUUCUACAGUCGAGGUCGUCAUUCUGGGUUGAAAAUUUCUGUGCCUAUUGCUGCUGAAUUUAAUGCUCAAGGUGUUGCUGAAGUUUGAGUUUUGAGAAGCAAUUGAAUAGCGAACCUGCCAGCUUAUUUGAAUUCUAGAAUUUUGUAUUUAAAUGAAAGUUGUUGAUGUAAUACAAGUUUCCUAAGCAUUAUUUGUAUUUUUUCUACAACAUUUUGUAAACCUGAAACUGGGUGUGGACAUUAGAACUUGUUUGAAGAAUUGUGAACUCAAAUAAGAGUGUUUUGGACUGUUAUUGAAGGUUGUUGAAACAACCUUGGAAAUUUGCACUUUUGCACUAGUUGUGUAGUGAGUGCAAGCUGAUUUCUUUAGAUUGUUAUUGAAGGUUGUUGAAACAACCUUGAAAAUUUUCACUUUUUGCACUAAUUAUGUAGUGAGUGCAAGCUAAUUUUUUUGCACACUUGAGUUCAGUUGAUUACAAAUAUUUUGGUGAUUUAGUUAAGAUGGAAUUCCAAGCUGAAAAAUAUUGCUUAAAGUUACUUUAUUUGUUGUUGCUAGUUUAGUUUGGUGGUAGUUGGUCCAGCAUGCUAUAAAUGUGAAUCUGUAGAGUUGUCUGUAGCACAAUUUUUUGCUUGAUUCUAAAUUUUAAUUACAUUUUGAGUUUGAUCCUGCACAGUUGCUGAGUUUCAAUUAGCAGUCAAGUUACAAUCGUAUUAUUUGGAUUUCACUCUCUUUUUAGCAUGUAAAUAUAUUAAUUAAGUUUAAUCCCGAUAUUUUAGGCUUUGUUUCACUUUGUAGUUGGUUUAUUUCUCACUUUUUAGCAUGUAAAUAUAUUUAUUAAGUUUAAUCCCGAUAUUUUAGACUUUGUUUCACUUUGUAGUUGGUUUAUUUAACAAAAUCUAAAAAAAAUAAGAAAACAAAACUCCAAAAGGAAAUACAUUUUUUGCGUAUUAAUUUUAUUUUCAUUUGUAAAGAAAGUAUAGUUUCCAAAAUAUAGUUUUACCUAGUAUAUUGAUUUUUGUUAGUUGUAGGCCUUAGGAAAUACUGAGUAAUAGUAGUAGUUAAUUUCUUUAAAUAUAGUUACUAUGUUUUUCUGUCCGAUUUUUGCUAUUGUAAAUCAGAAGUAUUUAAUCUUUAGUUUUGUUACUUUGGAUUAUCCUUAAUACAAAUUAAAAAAAUGAUGAAAAAGAAGAAGAGAAAGCAGAAAAUAGAGAAUGAAAAGAAAAAAGUUUUUUGGGAUUACAACUUUUUGGGUGAUUUGUUGAGGUUUGUAAAUAUUUACGCAAAUUGCUUGAAGUGUAUUGAGGCUGCAAAGUUGUUUGGUUAAAUUACCAUUUCUUCAUUUGUUCAAGAACACGGCUCGAAAGAUUACCAUUAGGCUGCAACUUUGUCAGUUAUUGUGAGGAUGUCCAGAAUUACAGAAUUAACCAGUUUUUGCAUAUGUGGCCACCUUUUGUAAAUGUUUUGGAAAAGGGUCAAAGAGUUAGAUAAGGUUGGAUUUGUAUCUUUGUUUCUUAGUAUCAUAUGGUUUUAGUGGUAUUGAAAUGGUUUCAAGUUGAUUUUCAAAACAAGAAAAGAAAAAAUAUUUUUUUAAUCUAUUAGAGCUUUCAUGGCUUGAAUUAUAUAAAAAAAUGAAUUAGUUUAUUCGCCUCAUUUCCGAUCUUCCAGAACUACGCAAAGAUCUGAUUCAUGCGGGGUCAUGAUACAUAGGCAACCUAUAUAGGGUUCGAUCAAAUCAUUUUAUUUCAUAAAAAGAAGAAGGAUAAAGAUAAAAAUCGAGAAAAAAGAAAUAAGGAGAAAAAGAAAAAGAAAAAAGGGUGUAAUUAUGGGAUGUGAAAAGAAAAGAGUGGUAAAUAAAAAAAAAAGGAAGGAAAAUGAUCAAGCAAGUGCCAGAAAAGCAAAGAAAGAGAGAGGUUGAAAUGAACAAAAGCAGUUGGACAUGUUGAAGCCAAUUCAGAUAAAUAUGCCAAACCCUCUGUCAAAGAAGUUUGAUGUUUCUCAAAGGUGCACAUAUUGCUCAGAUGCCCCGAGGCAUGAUACAGAGAAGUGCUGCAGUCUAAAGAAAGCAAUUCAGAAGCUAUUAAUUCAGAAGAUGAUUCCAUAUGACAUUCAUACCUUCGAAGUCAUGUUGGAGCCGGUAACUGUGACUAGGUGCAUUGCACGCAUUGUGAUAUUUUAGUUGUUUAAUGUCCUAACGCUAACAUGAUGGCUUUAUUUGUUAUACUCAUAGCAGAAGUGUGGUUGGUUUGUGGUUUUUAAAGUAGUAACUCUCCUCUACAACACAAAGGCAAAGGCAAUGGCAAUGGGGGACAACAAUAUAACUGAGUUGGUCGACACCAAGGCCCGAAAGCAGUUGGCUGACCAGGACAAUGGGUUAAGUAAAGAGGUAAAAAUGGCGAGACAACACAUGGCAAAAAUGUAUCAGGCUUGGAUGACUGGGAAAGUACCACACCACCUAGCUUCCUAGAUGCUACCCUUCUCCAAACUCCGAUCAUAGUUUCAAAUGAUCCUCCAUACUCUCCAGAUGCACCCGCCUACGACAGUUUCCCAACCACGCCAGCAGCUCCAUCACUUGCCCUCCAACAAUCCCCAACAAUGAAUUUUUACUCAAAGCUCAUAAUAUCCAAUGCUAUCCCGCAAAGGCGGCCCAAAAGGUUCCUGACUCGUACAAGCAGAGCCUAUAGGAUGAGUCUCACGUUGAGAAUGAAAAGUUCACAGGAAGGGAAAGGCAGGAUGGAAUACCCCGGAGGCUAGCAGGCAUAAGAUAGUCCUUGAAGAACAAGCAAGUAAUGCGAGACCAGGGUAAUAUGGCUUGCGAAGAACUAUUUGUAUCCCCUGACAUUCGCCUACCCACAGGGUUCAAAGUGCCAAAACUUAACUUGUACGAUGGGCGUGGAGAUCCGGUGGCCCACCUGAGGGUUUAUUGUAGUGAAAUGAGAGGCGUUGAAGAGAAAGAUGACCUGUUGAUAGCAUAUUUCAGCAAGAGCCUGACGGGGCAACAUUGGACUGGUAUACUCGUCAAGAUGUCGAUGAAUGGCCUACAUUGGGUGUGCAAAAAUUUAACUUGUACGAUGGGUGUGGAGAUCUCGUAGCCCACCUGAGGGUUUAUUGUAGUGAAAUGAGAGGCGUUGGAGUGAAAGAUGACAUGUUGAUAGCAUAUUUCAGCUAGAGCCUGUCUAGGGCAGCUUUGGACUGGUAUACUCUUCAAGAUAUCGGCAAAUGGCCUACAUAGGGUGACACGGCUCAAGAUUUUGUUCGAUACUUUCAAUGUAAAUCCAGUGUUACCCCAGACCACGCUUCCCUAUCUAAAAUGAAAAAGAAGCUGCAUGAAAUCUUUAGGGAGUUUGGGCUCAGAUAGAGGGCACAAGCUGCUCGAGUCAGUACCUCGAUUGGUGAAAAGGAAAUGGUUGAGCUUUUCCUACAAGCCCAGGAGCCCACCUACUUUAGUUAUUUGAUCCCAGCUUUGGGAAAACCUUUCAAUGAUGUGUUAAAUAUGGGGGAACAAGUAUAAGAGGGAAUCAAGUCAGGCAAAAUCAUGAGUGGUUCGAAAGAUGUUCAGAACAUCACCUUUCAAUGAUGUUUAAAAUAGGGGAGCAAGUAGAAGAGGGAAUCAAGUUUGGCAAAAUCAUGAGUGGUUCGAAAGACAUUCAGAACAUCCAAGUAAGCUUCGGCGGGAGAAAGAAAAAUAGAAAAGAUGAUCAGCAUUUCCAGCCUCCACAUCGUCCUCAUGGACAUCCGCGUGUACCAAAUAAUCCUCUCCAACGCUGCUUCUCCCCACAUAACUCAAACAAUUGUACAUCACUUUCCCCAUACCCAACUCCAUAGAAUUCCCAUCCACCCCCACGAGCAUACCAAAACCUCCUGGAUUAGGUUUCCAACCCAGCCAAGCAUGUAAGAAUGAUAGGCUACUUAAAAAGGAAAAGUCAUUCACCCCUAUCGGACUAUCAUAUGCCAGUUUGUUCCAAAGGUUGAAGCAGUUGGACAUGUUGAAGCCAAUUCAGAUAAAUAUGCCAAACCCUCUGUCAAAGAAGUUUGAUGUUUCUCAAAGGUGCACAUAUUGCUCAGAUGCCCCGAGGCAUGAUACAGAGAAGUGCUGCAGUCUAAAGAAAGCAAUUCAGAAGCUAUUAAUUCAGAAGACAUUGCCGCGCAAAAUCCGGAUGCAGCGGACACCAGCCAAAGUCCAUCGCCUGUGCAUAAUGAGAUGAACAUGUUGGGAUGUGAGAGUUCUUCAGGGAGCCUCGGAGGCAUGAGUGCUGCUAAGCUUUUAGCGCUACCAGAGGUUGAUCUUCAGAGCGAGCCGGUGAAAGGAACCCAAAAGCAAUCUGUUAAGAACAAUGUGAAGAAGGCUUGUGAAGUGCCUAGUGUUAUUGAUGUGGAACCCAGUGGCUAAUAUGUCGGGAUGAGUAAUUGGGAAGACGCGCCACUUCUUGGUCAGCCAUAGGGGAGUUUUGGUGGUUUAUUUUGUUGUCAUUUCUGUUGUCCGGGUUAUUUUCAGGGUUGUAAUCCGGAUAUUGUCUUGUGAUUCAAAUCCUUUCAUCCUUUUAUUUUUCCUAGUUUUGUUUAGUGUCGUCUAGGUUUGUUCCAGGGUUUAACCCCAGUCUAUUUAAUUGCUUUGUUGUCCAAGCUCUUUCACCAUCUGUCUAAUGUAAUUUUCUGUUAUUUAUAGUCAUUUGGCUUAGUUUUCUUUUAUUUUUACAAUUUUUUCCCCUGUUGGCGUUAAUGAUAUGACAUGUAUGCAUAACCUCACGCCUGGUCUUAAAAGAUUACUCGUAAGGCAAUACAGACACUUCAGGGAAAUAAGAACAGAUUUGGACCAUUUGAGAUCUUUUGAAGCCCGAACCACGUGAAACGCGUGCAGACAGAACAUGAAGAAAUCCUGAAAGAAAGUUUACCAAACUGGCAGGGACCAUUUGUUGUAGCUGGAGUGUUGUCCAAUGGUGCAUUAUAUUUGACAGAUGAGGAAGGAAAAUGUGUAGAAAUAACUAUGAAUUCUGACGCAGUCAUGAGAUACUAUGUAUGAUUCCUUUGACUGAUUAUACUUGCUUGUCUUGGCAUAUUUUAAAAACUGGAAUGAUAAAGACAUUUAUUCUGCUAUCUAAACACUUUAUCCUUUCUAACCCUUUUGAGCUUUAAUUAGUUUCUUUCAUAUCCCUCUUUCGAAAUCAGUAACAAAAGUCAAAAAUACAAGUGUGAGAAGGAAAUGAAAGAAAAAGAAAGGAAAGAAUGAAAAAAUAAAACAAAAGAAAAGAAAAAAAAUAGAAAAACAAGAAAAGAAAAGAGAAAAGAGAAAAGAAAAAGAAAAGAGAAAGAAAAUAAAACAAAGAAAGGAAAAGGAAGAAAAGAAAAACAGAAAGAGAAAAAAAGGAGAAGAAAAAUAAAAACAAAAACAAGGAAUCAUAUGAACUACAUUUGACCUGAUUCCUUUUAAGGAUACGUAGGCAGCCUCACGGUUUGGUCUCAUUAAAAUAAAAAUCCAAAAGUCCCCAAGCAAGAAACAGGGGCAGAAGUUGUGGUUGUUGUAAGAAUUUGAUUCCGAAAGUUGUAAUUUUGAACCCAUUUAAAUUAUUUUGAGCCAUUGAUACCCUUUCUUUCUAACCCUAGCCAAAAGCCCACGUUACGGUCCAGAGGAAGACCUUCUUAUCAGUCUUCAAGAGAUGCCAAGUUGAGCAAGUAGAUGUGAUUCAUGUCAGGGGAAAACACUCCAGUCCAAGCAGGAAAUAUAAUAAAAAUGAGAGAUUCUUAUUGGUGAAAACCCUCACGGGCACCAUAAGGCGAGGAGAGCUAAGAGAAAUAAAAAAAAAAAGAAAAAAUGAGAGAGUCUUAUUGGUGAAAACCCUCACGGGCACCUUGAGACGACUGUAAGUUGAGAGAAAAGAACAAAAUGAGAUAGGCUUGAUGGUGAAAACCCUUUAGGCGCUAUAAGUCGAAUAAGGAUUGAGAAUCAGAUUGGAUAAUCGGAGCAUCAAAGCCCAACUUCAUGGUUUGGGGGGUACAACAAGGGUUGAACAUCAGAUGUGCUUAACAGAAUUGGCCGCAGGUGGAUGUCAUGGUCAUUAGAGUUGGUACCCAUAUUUUAUAGCUUUCUAUUUUUUAGGUUUUUGUUAGGAAUCAUCUCCUUUCCUUGUCCUAUACUCUGUUCCUUUUGUCUUUUUUAUUCCCUCCUCUUGAGUCUGUCGGUCAAAACAAGUGAGAAAUGACGUCAAAAUCUGCAACCAGCUUUCCAAUUGCACAAAAGGGGACAUGUUUGUCACAUCAAAGCAACAUAAGUUAGGAAAGAAUAACAAGCACACUUAGCUGGAAACAAUCAACAUGCUUCAGGAUUCGUUUGAAGUACAAAGGCUUGGUAUAUAGCAAUUCACGGACAAUGCAACAGAAUGAGGGCUAGGGUGAAUGGAUCAAAAGUGUUCCAAGAAGAAAUCAAAGUUAUCAUGGCUAGCGAUAGAGCAUGUAGAACUCAAACUCAGAGCCAGUGAUUUGGGUCAUGAAAGAACAUCAUAUACAAUGUGGUUGGUAAAUAUGCUUUCGGGAUCAGGUGAAACACAAGGGUUUGGCAGGUGUCAGUUCAGGAAUAGUGAUUUGGGCCAGGAAAGAAAAUCAUAUACAACGUGGUUGGUAAAUAUGCUUUGGGGAUCAGGUGAAACACAAGGGUAUGGCAGAUGUUGUCCAGGAACAAUGUAACAGACGGAAGGUGUUGGUUUCGAAUGAGAAGAUGUAUUUUCUGGGUUCAGGUUUACAAAGGAAGCAGUUAGUCAAGGGGCAAACAGGGUCUUCAAAUGAAAAUCAAUCAUCAUGACAAGUAAAGGAGCAACAGACCUCAAGGUCAAGGUCAGUGGUUUAAGUAAAAAAAAAAUAGCAUACACACGAAGUGGGGGGGGGGGGCAAUGAACGUUCUUUGGGGGAUCAUAUGAAACACAAAGGAUGGGAAGAUAUAAGUUUCAUAAGCAAUGCAAAAACAGCAUGCAUACGAAGUGGGGGGCGAGGGACGUGCUUUGGGGGGUCAUGCGAAACAAAAAGAAUGGGAGGAUGUCAGCUCAUAAAUGAUGCAACGAAUAGAGAAUAUGGGGUCUAAAUGGAGAAGGGGUAUUUUCUGCGAUAAGGGUGACAGAGAAAUUGGUUAGACAAUAAGCAAGCAAUGUCUUUCAAGGUGAAAUCGAAGUUACCGUGGCAAGUGAAGGAGCACAACACAAAGAUGGGAAAGUCCACGAAGGUUAGCCAUGCAUAGUAAACUGACUCAGCAAUCUUAAGAAAGAUGUACAAAGAUGGAGGAGCAUAGUAAAGCCGCAAGGGUCAGAGGGUUAGCCAAGCAUAACUGACAAUAAGCAAACAAUGUCUUUCAAGGUGAAAUCAAAGUUACCGUGGCAAGUGAAGGAACACAACACAAAGAUGGGAAAGGCCACGAAGGUUAGCCAAGCAUAGUAAACUGACUCAGCAAUCUUAGGAAAGAUGUACAAAUAUGGAGGAGCAGAGUAAAGCCACAAGGGUCAGCCAAGCUUAAUACAUUGACAUGGUAAUCUCGAGAAAGAUGCAAGAAUUCUGGCAAAAGGGCUAGGAAUGUAACACAGUAAUGGGAGAGCAAAGUAAAGCCAAAAAGGUUGGGGGGUCAGCCAACCAACUCAGGCAGCUCAUCAUCAAUAUGGGAAUUUGAACACAAGGGAACAUGACAACGAGGGGGCCGCUUCCAACAAGAAUGCUGCGAGCCAACCACCACAUUUCAAAUUGACAAGUUUUCUUUGAUUGGCACAGGGGCAGAAAAUUCCGGAAGAGCCUAAAGGAGGCCGUCCCCAGGAGAAGGCAGGCACACGAAAGGUAUGAUCAAAAUCUCAGGGGUCGCCUGGAAGUGGGACUCAGUUAAAACUCAAAAGAGACAUAAUCCUUCAUAAAUACCCUCCACAACAAAGAGCACAAUGGGACAAGCUUUAACUAGCAAACCCCAAUAGACAACUAAUGGCUAAAAGAGGCAUGGAAGUUGAGAUGAAAUAUAGUUAAAACUCAAACUGGUGUAGGUAAAAUGGGCAAGCACCAACACCUUCCCAGUAAGAGUCGCAGAAACCCUCUUGGACAAUAAUCACUAGCAGAAACAACCAGAAGUCAGAAUUGACAUUUAAGUGGUAACCUUCAGGACCCUCUUGGAAAAUGGGACUCAUUUUAAGGUUAAUGACAUAAAAUGACUUGCAUAUCGAAGUAGGAUUCAGUUAGAGUUGUCAGGACCUUCCUGGAAAAUGGGACUUAGCUUAGAACACAAACAGUUGGGUGGCGUGGUCAAACCCAAAUACUUUCCCAACCAGAGUCAAUAAGAGUCAUCAGGACCUUUCUGAAUAAUGGGACUUAGAUUAGAUAUUUCCCCGACAAGAGUCAAGAAGAAUCAUCAGGACCCCCGUGAAAAAUGGGACAUAGAGCCAAAAUCUCCCCAGCCAGAGUCAACAAGAGUCAAUAAGAAUCAUCAUGACCCUCCUAAAAAAUGCGACUUAGAGAAAGUAUUCCUCCAGCUAAAGUCAAUAAGAGUCAAGAAAAGUCAUCAGGACCCUCCUGAAAAAUGGGAUGUAGAUUAUAUACUUCCCCAGCAAGAAGUCAACAAGAAUUGUCAGCACCUCCCCCCCCCCCCUCAGGACCCUCUUGGAAAAUGGGAUUUAGAAGGAAAAUUUUGAAUUUCCCCAGCUGAGUCAGCAAGAGCCAUCAGGACCCUCCUGAAAAAUGGGAUUUAGAGCCAGAAUCUCCCAGCUAAAGUCAACAAGAGUCAAGAAGAGUCGUCAGGACCCUCCUGAAAAAUGGGAUUUAGAGGGAAAAUUUCAAAUUUUCCCAGCUAGAGUCAAUAAGAGUCAAGAAGAGUCAUCAAGACCUUUCUAAAAAAAUGGGACUUACAUUAGAUACUGCCCAAGCAAGAGUGAACAAUAGUUAUUAGGACCCCUGGAUAAUAGGAUGUAGCCCUAAAUACUAACCCCCGCUGUCACCUUUUGUUUAUCAAACUAAAAGUUGUUAGGACCCGCCUGGAUAAUGGGAAGUAAUUUUAAUCACUAGUCACCAGCAGAUAUAACUCGUAGCAAGACAUGGUGGAAAAUAAUACCUUUCAUAAACACAGCAUAAUCUUGAAAUUGUCAGCAGUUGAGAAUGGUCAGGACCAGUUUUAAUAAUCAGGCGCCCACCUGUAGAACAAGGGAAUAUUUUUCAAAAUUCCAAGUUUUGCAAUCACGCGCCCACCUAAAGAACAAGGUAAUAUUUUUCAAACUUUUAUGUUUUUGAAAUCAGGCGCCCACCUCGAGAACAAGGGAAUAUUUUUAAAAUUUUUUAGUUUUUGCAAUCAGGCACCCACCUGGACAACAAGAAAACAUUUUUCAAAGUUUUAAGCUUUUGCAAUCAUGCGCCCACCUGUAAAAUAAGGGAAUAUUUUUCAAGUUUUUGUAAUCAGGCACCCACAUGUAGAACAAGGGAAUCUUUUUCAAACUUUUAAGUUUUUGCAAUCACGCGCCCACCUGGAGAACAAGGGAAUAUUUUUCAAAUUUUUAAGUUUUUGCAAUCAGGCGCCUACCUAUAUAACAAGGGAACAUUUUUCAAAGUUUUAGGCGUUUGCAAUCAGGCGCACACCUGUAAAAUAAGGGAAUAUUUUUCAAGUUUUUUUAAUCAGGCACCCAUCUGUAGAACAAGGGAAUAUUUUUAAAAUUUUUAAGUUUUUGCAAUCAGGCGCCCACUUGGAGAACAUGAGAACAUUUUUCAAAAUUUUAAGUUUUUCCAGUCAGGCGCCCACCUGUAUAGCAAGGGAAUAUUUUUUAAAUUUUAAGUUUUUUUAAUUAAGUGCCAACCUGUAGAACAAGCACAUAUUUUUCAAAAUUUCAAGUCUUGGUAAUCAGGCGCCCACCUGUAGAAUAAGGGAAUAUUUUUCAAAAUUUCAAGCUUUGGCAAUCAGGAGCCCGCCUGUAGAACGAGGGAAUAUUUUCAAAAUUCUUAAAAUUUCAAGCAUCAGGUGCCCACCUGUAGAACAAGGGAAUAUUAUUCGAAAUUCAAGUUUUUAUAAUCAGGCGCCCACCUGUAGAACAAGGGAAUAUUUUUCAAAAUUCAAGUUUUAGUAAUCAGGCACCCACCUGGAGAACAAGGGAAUAUUUUUCAAAAUUUCAAGUUUUAGUAAUCAGCCGGCCAUCUUGAGAAUAUUUUUCAAAAUUUCUAGUUUUGGUAAUCAGGCGCCCACCUGUAGAACAAGGGAAUAUCUUUCAAAAAUGCAAGUUUGGUAAUCAGGCGCCCACCUGUAGAACAAGAGAAUUUUUUUCAAGUGUUAAGUUUUGAUAAUCAGGCGCACACCUAUAGAACAAGAGAAUAUUUUUCAAAAUUCAAGUUUUGUAACCAGGUGCCCACCUGUAGAACAAGGGAAUAUCUUCAAAAUGCAAGAUUGGUAAUCAGGCGCCCACCUGUAGAACAAGGGAAUAUUUUUCAAGUGUUACGUUUUGAUAAUCAGGCACCCACCUGGAGAAAAAGAGAAAAUAAUUCGAGUUCAGCAAUCAGGCAUCCACAUGGAGAAAGAGAAAACAUCCCAUAUUACAAUUCAAGUCAGCAACAAGAGAAGCUCGUGGCAAGAAUACAAGUCAACAGUCCGAGACAAUCAACAAAAGUUAGUCACAGUUAAAAAAAAGAAGAAGAAAAAAGGAAGGCAAGCAGGAAGUUAAUCCAAAUAAAAGAUGUGAAUUUCUCAACGCAUGGUUGAGGUCACAUGAAAAUAACUCCUAAAAAUAGACCAAAAUAAAUUUUUUAUUAAUUUUAGGAGUUUUUCUUAAUUUAAUUGCAUUUAAUACAUUUUUAAUAUUUUUAAAAAUAACAGAAAGCCAUAAAAAGUGUCACAUUUUUAAUUUUUUGCCACCUUAGGUUCAAUUGCAUUUAGAAAUUAAUUACAUUGAGUUAAUUGUGUUAUUAAUCAAAAAUUGCAAAAAAUGAUCAUUUUUACAUAGUUAGAUUAAUUUUACAAUUUGAAUUGAUUUAGGAAUUUAGUUUAGGUUUUUUUAAUUAAUUAAAACAAACAAAAAUAAAAGAAAGAAAUUGAAAAACAAAUUCGAAAUUGGGUAAUGUGAUAAGUGAGCCCAAAUUUUUCAAUAUCCAUUCUUCAUUUAUACCCAACCCAAAUUAACCCCUACCCAACCCCAAACCGGGUCGACCUAACCCAACCCAAUACCCAAAUCCACCCUAACCUAAAAACCUAUACACACAGUACAUAGAUACAAGAAGAAAGGGGCUGCGCUGGUCUUGAAGAGACACACAUAUAUAGACAAUACACAUAGUACACACAAUCUACGCAGAGACACGCCUGAAAAUUGAAGGCCGCGCAGCUUUGCUAUUCUUCUGAACAAUAGAUACACAAUAUAGUGAUACAGUAGAGACGCAUAUACAGAAAAACAAUACAGAGGGAGGGACGCCUGGAAAUUUUGAAAGAAGGGUUGGCGGCUCGGCUUCUUCUGAAAAAAUACAAGAACAUCAACCAUUGGACCUUACUCCAUCUCCCUCACGGCGGAGAACAGACGCACACACACAAACAAAUUUGCAACUGCUUUUGAGUUUGCUUAGUGUAGAGUCACCAUUAAAGGUAGCCUGUUCUAAAUUCGACAGGGUUUCAGGCUCGAGGUCUCGAUUUCUCCUGUGGUUCCUGUUCGAUUUAGCCAUUGUUGAUAAGCAUGGAUUUUGCUGGAAUUUGAUCGAGGAUGACCUCAGUUCGAGCCUCUUUGCUGGGUCGAGCUCAUUUGUAUUUGUUCAGCUCCAUUUUCCAUUGUUGGAUGCUCGAUUUCGUCUGAAAUUUGAACUCGAAAGUUCGUAUCUACAGAUUCUCAAAACCUUAAAGAAUUUUAGCUCAACAGGUUCAACUAAGCUCUUUCUCUUCUCAUUGUUUUGUUUGUGAUGGAUUAUGGUGUUUGUGUUGGUUUGGUUGAUAUUCUUUAUUAAAUUGCUUUAAUUGGUUAUCCGGAUUUCGAAUCUCAUCAUUUAGGCUGGAUCAAUUCCGUUUGUGGAUAAUUCUUGUUUGCAUUUGAUGCUAUGUUAGAGUUGGAUUCUAUAAAUGAAUCAGUAGAGUUUAGGUCUAGAAUUAGCUGCACGCUCGAAAGAGAUAUGUGUUUGGAAGUGAUAAAUCAGAACUGAAGCAUUGAGGUUAUGGUUAACUGUUUGAGUGACCAACUCGCGUGUUGAAUGCUUAAUUUUCUUGAAAAUAAGUAUCGAGACUAUUAGUUAUCACUAAGGUGGAUGUUCUAAUCAAACUUUGAUCUAUUGUGAGUUCUUUAAAUCGGCUUGGUACACAUGUUGAGUUUUUAGGAUAAUUGAAUAUAACUAGGUUCCUCCUUGUUUAUUAACGGAAGAUGUUUGUGAGCUAGUUAAUGUACUAAUCUGUGCUUUCGAUUUCUCAUGAAUUUUACUG
This 16377-nucleotide long non-coding RNA is filed under the name Nicotiana benthamiana. RNAcentral's name for it is "long non-coding RNA (NBEN_LNC021313)". The record is from RNAcentral. Lineage: Eukaryota; Viridiplantae; Streptophyta; Magnoliopsida; Solanales; Solanaceae.